CGCGCAUACGAGCCGUCCAGCGCCAUCAGCUCAUCGUGCGUGCCCUUCUCAAGCACCUGGCCGCGGUACACCACAGCAAUGGUGUUGGCGUGACGGAUGGUGGACAGGCGGUGCGCAAUGACGAUGGAGGUGCGCCCCAGCAUGAUCCGGUCCAGCGCCGCCUGCACCACCGCCUCGCUGCGGGCGUCCAGCGCAGACGUCGCCUCGUCCAGCAACAUAACCUGGUGCGGUAAGAUGUGGGGUCCAAACGAUUGAGCAAAUGUACCGAAUACCGCAAACCACGGCCAUCCACCACUAGUUAUGGUGACAGCGGCCGGUCAGGGCUUUGC
This 329-nucleotide long non-coding RNA is filed under the name Chlamydomonas reinhardtii. Its description in RNAcentral is "long non-coding RNA (CREI_LNC001349)". Lineage: Eukaryota; Viridiplantae; Chlorophyta; Chlorophyceae; Chlamydomonadales; Chlamydomonadaceae. The record is from RNAcentral.